CCUACGGGUGGCAGCAGUGGGGGAUAUUGCACAAUGGGGGGAACCCUGAUGCAGCGACGCCGCGUGAGCGAAGAAGUACCUCGGUAUGUAAAGCUCUAUCAGCAGGGAAGAAAAUGACGGUACCUGACUAAGAAGCCCCGGCUAAAUACGUGCCAGCAGCCGCGGUAAUACGUAUGGGGCAAGCGUUAUCCGGAUUUACUGGGUGUAAAGGGAGCGCAGGCGGCCUGCCAAGUCUGGUGUGAAAACCCGGGGCCCAACCCCGGGCCUGCAUUGGAAACUGGCGGGCUGGAGUGUCGGAGGGGCAGGCGGAAUUCCUAGUGUAGCGGUGAAAUGCGUAGAUAUUAGGAGGAACACCGGUGGCGUAGGCAGGUUGCUGGGACGGUUCUGACACUAAGGCACGAAAGCGUAGGGAGCAAACGGGAUUAGAUACCCGAGUAGUC
This 440-nucleotide ribosomal RNA is filed under the name uncultured bacterium. RNAcentral's name for it is "partial 16S ribosomal RNA". It matches the Rfam family "Bacterial small subunit ribosomal RNA", at positions 338 to 795 of the family's 1533-position model. The record is from RNAcentral.